This 214-nucleotide ribosomal RNA is filed under the name uncultured bacterium. RNAcentral describes it as "partial 16S ribosomal RNA". It matches the Rfam family "Bacterial small subunit ribosomal RNA", at positions 136 to 334 of the family's 1533-position model. The record is from RNAcentral.
CGGGGGAAUAACCAGUCGAAAGAUUGGCUAAUACCGCAUAAUGCAGCGGCACCUAAUGGUGAUUAGUUGUUAAAGCGGGGGACCUUCGGGCCUCGCGCCUGGAGAGGAGCCUGCGGCAGAUUAGCUAGUUGGUGAGGUAACGGCUCACCAAGGCAUCGAUCUGUAGCUGGUCUGAGAGGACGGCCAGCCACACUGGCACUGACACACGGGCCAG